Molecule: long non-coding RNA, 7535 nt
Organism: Zeugodacus cucurbitae (melon fly)
Lineage: Eukaryota; Metazoa; Arthropoda; Insecta; Diptera; Tephritidae
Exons: 2
Source: RefSeq, a predicted model, not a curated record
UUUCUUGACAUAAAGUCAACGCAAAAUACUGUAUUUCAAACAAAACUAAUUUAUUUAACACUUAAAAGCAUAAAAAAAGUUUAGGCAUACGCAAGUACAUUAUUUGUUGUUAAUAAAUUAUUAUAAUUUGUAGGUUUUUCAACUAAUUUCUUUGCAAGUGAAAACCGGUUUUAUAUACAUAUCGCUCAUUUACAUGAAUAGUGUCAUAACUCAAAAAACACGAUUUUUGAGUUGAGUAUGCAGAAAUGUGAGCAGUUUCAUCGUCCAUAUUGUAUAAAAAUUUCGUUCCGAUACGUGGAAAAAUUGACCGUGAAAUAAGAAUGUGCCGUUUUAAAACUUGUUAUAUUGCAUUAUUUUUAUACUCUCGCAACAAAUGUUGCUAAAGAGAGUAUUAUAGUUUUGUUCACAUAACGGUUGUUUGUAACACCCAAAACUAAACGAGUUAGAUAUAGGGUUAUAUAUACCAAAGUGAUCAGGGUGAAGAGUGGAGUUCAAAUCCGAAAGUCUGUCUGUCCGUCCGUCCGUCUGUGCAUGCUGUAACUUGAGUAAAAAUUAAGAUAUCUUGGCACACUUAUUUCUUGGCACCAUAGGAAGGUUGCUUUCGAAAAUGAGCAAAAUCGGACCACUACCACGCCCACAAAAGGGCGAAAACCGAAAACACAUAAAGUGCCAUAACUAAGCCAUAAAUAAAGCUAUGGAAAUAAAAUUUGGUAUGAAGGAUCGCACAAUGAAGGGGCAUAUUUGGAUGUAAUUUUUUUGGGAUGGAUUACAAUUGAUCGGAAUGUCGUAUUGGAAUUAUAUCUUUUACUAAUAGAUCGAAAAUUUUAUGAAAAAAUGAAGCGACUUAACGAAGGUUUCAAGACCGGAGCAUCCUCAUGUAGAGACCAAGGUGGUAAUCUGGUAACCGAUGUCCAGGGCAUACUGGGAUUAUGGAGGGAACACUUCUUCGACCUGCUGAAUGGCAGUGAGUGUACAACACCAGGAGAUGGCGCACCCGAUCCCACAAUCGAUGACGAUGGAACAGAUAUUCCAUUACCCGACCAUGAAGAAAUCCGAAUAGCAAUUACCCGCUUGAAGAACAACAAAGCAGCGGGGGCCGAUAGAUUACCGGCAGAGCUAUUCAAAUACGGCGGCGAAGAACUGAUAAGGUGCAUGCAUCAGCUUCUUUGCAGAAUAUGGUCGGAAGAAAGCAUGCCUGACGAUUGGAAUCUCAGUGUGCUCUGCCCAAUCCAUAAAAAGGGAGAUGGCGCACUAUCGUCGAUUCGGCUCUAACCGUUCAGUGAUUCAGUGAUUGAUGUUUAAUGCUUGACUUAUUUAUUAAUAAAUCAAAUACAUAAAUACAUAUAUGCAUACCAAAUAUGAUAGAUAGAACUUAGAAUACUUUUAAAUAACAAGUGGGACUGUAGAUUUGAUAUGCGAAAAACACUUGCGAGGUAAAUCAAUCUGACAUGCGGACAUCAAGAUAAUUUUCUGUGUAAAAGAAGGAUAGUAUACUUACUUCUUGUCGAAAGUAUCAGACAUUUGUUUCGAUAGCUUUUAAUCAUAUAUAAAAUAUACAAACAUACAUACAUAUGUAUGCACUGAGAUUUGAGCACAUAAAAUAUAGUGGUAUAUAUCUAAAUAUACAUAUGUAUUUUCCGUGAAUAUGUCUAAACUUGUUAUCUAAUCUUACGCUAAUACGCUUAGUUAUACUGUCAGCCCUUUCGUGCAUGUACGGAUUGUUAAAAAAAGCCAUGAGAUAUAUUAUCAUUGCGAGUACUUAUUUAAAUGGUUAUCAUUUAAGUUAUUUUUGGAACCCUAAAUUCAUUACGAUAAUUUGAAAGCUGUAUGUAUUAUCGGUACAUCUCUCAGAUAUUUAACAGAAAUUCAGAAGGUUUUUUUCCUUCUAAUAAUAAUUGUCUCUGUGACAAAAAUUGAUAAAUACUAACUCCCAUAUAUUGGUAAACAUAAUAUUGGAUAUAAUGUAGCUUGGUUUCAAAAACUCAUGAAAUCGGUCCAGGAAUUACCCCAGAGGUAGUUAGAAUUAUUUACACAUCGAAGGUUUUGUACAAAUUCCACUGAAAAAUCUUUUUUUCUGCAGUUGUUGUUGUUGCAGUGUAACUAUGCAUAAUUGCUAUGUUGUUGUAAACCGUGACCUAUUCCAAAGCGAACGAUGUCAGUUUGGUUGGAAUAGCUGGACAUAUGACAGAGAAAUAGGCAAAUGAACUGAUGACUAGCGGUAGUCGAAAAGUAACAAUCACUGUUCAGUAACAAUAUCAGUUCGAAAGGAGCAAUCACUGUUCACUGAUCACAGUAACAAUUUUAGUUGCGAUUUCGGUAAUUUUUGGUACUGUGAUACAAAAGCAGUUAAAUGCACCCAAAAUUUAUUAAUUAGUUAAUUGUGAUUACAAAAGCAGGUAAAUUUUGGAUAUUGUUAAAAUUUAUAAAAAUCUAAAUAUAAAAAAUUAAAAAAAAAUGUGGAGAACAAAUUCUCAUAAAUUCUUUUUUUUUUGUUGUGAUCGCAAUAGCAAUAUAAAAUCACAGUGAUUCAAAAAUAAAAAUAUCGCUCAUCACCUCUGUAUAUAUUGAUAAUUUAAUUUAGUUAUUCUAGUGGACUUUAUACCGAAAAUAUGGGUCAAACUGUGUGUGGGAGAAAUUCAAAACGAAACUAAUUAUAUCAGAGAGAAAUACGCCAAACGACAGUUGUGGUAGUUAUUAGUGUAUUCAUGAAAAUAUUUCUCUAUUUCUAUUUUCAGAAAUAAAUAGGUUCAGUUUUAAGUAACUUUCUACUAAACCUAAAAAUAAUGAGCAAACCGCACACUACCUACAGUUGCCGCUAGAACAACAAAGGCUAGCACGAAGCGGCUGUAAAGUGCAGUAAACCGACAAUCGAAACACAAACGCAAGCCAAUGCAACUCUAAUGACAACAACAUAAAUUGCUCUAGUUAACAAAAGAGAUUUCUAAACAAUUUUUCUCUGCGUAAUCCUUUGCUUCCUCAUUUACUCAUUCACAGUUGUUGUGGGCUUCCAAUACUUUCAUUUCUCCUCUCCGAACUCCCAAAGGCCACAAUGUUAUAUUAUAGUUGUUGUUUGUAUUGUUGGUGUUACAUUUGCAGCAUUAUUCCCAACCAUAGGAAAGUUGGUUGCGCUAGUCGUCCCUUGUCGGGUUGAAACAAAAGCAGGAUAUGCUUCCGUUGCUGUUGUUGUUAUUGUGUUGCAUUUUCAGCCUCAAGUGAUUUCAAGGCAAUAAAUUUGCCAUUUCUUGUUUUCCUGUCACUUUCUAAUUGCCUUUUCUUGUAUUACUCUAUGGUUUUAUCCUUUGAUGCUUCCAGAUUUUGGUCUACUUAAUUGCAAUUUCACAAUAUAGUAUUUAUUUUAUUUAAGAUAAACAUUUAAGAACACAAGUUCCUCUUAUUUCAGAAAACCAAUGGUUCCUUUGUGUAUGUACAGAAGAUAACAUCAUGUCUUAAAUUAUACAAAACAUUUCAUAUGGAUAUUAUAUUUCGUAUAUAAUUAACGAUUUUUGUUAGUUCAUAUAGAUUCGACGCCUCCUGAGGGCGAAAUUUUAUGAGAAACGUGUUCAAAGAUAAUAUUUCCCUCUAAGUUUGACAUUACAGCCUGAGAAACCACUGCUUGUUGAGAACCCUUCUAUAAUGCUCCUCGAAAAGUGGUACAUAAACCGAUCCGUUGGGUUCAGAUAAGUUGAACAAUAUCGGUCUUUUUAGAAGUACAAAAUUAGAAUUGAAUUAGUUAUCACGCCAUAUUCACCAUUAGAUGGUGAAAUACAAUGUUUCCUCUCAGUUUUAUUGAUACAAACUGAUAUUCUUCCUAGUCAUCUUUUACCUACUGGACAAGUAUUGCUUAGUUUCAAAGUACUCCGUUGGGAAGCCAAAAUGGAGUUAAGGGCUGGUCCAAUGCUGGCUGGCUUUAUUUGAUUUCGUUGACUUAUAUUACUUUAAAUGAUUGUAGGACCAAAUAAGAUCUUACAAAUGCCAGGGUCUUUAGACAAUAAAAGAAAAACAUCUUAAAAAGCUAAGUUUCAGCGAAACAUUGAAAUGUGAACCAAAUUGGAUGGAAUUAGUCCAGCUAAGAUCUCUACAAAGGAAAUCGCCUUUGAACCUUUGAUCAAUAAAAUUGUUAAGAUACCUAGAAAGAAGAUAGCAGAUUAUCUUAAUGUAUCUGAAAUAUAUUGAAACUCGAUGAUACCAUGAAAAACGUUGAAUGUAAGGCUAAUCAACGGUUUACAAAGGUAAUAAAACAGUUAAAGAAGAGAUGAAAAUGAUAGAGCUUAAAAUUGUGAGGGAUCAUGGGACAUAUUUAAUUUAAUUGUUAAUCUAAAUCUUUUGUCACAUUCGGACCUUCUUAAUAAAAGUAUGACAAGACAUAUCCAUAUCCAAACAAAGAGAGCUACAUACUAUUUACUGAAGCGUCAGUAAUUUAUUGAAAGAUUCAACUCCAGAAUAUGUAUUUAUAUCCGAGACACACAUCUAGUAACAAUACCAUUGUUCGUACAAAUACUCGUACCAGAUGUGUGUCACCAAAUACUAGCACUUUACCAUGUGAGCAAUGUAGUAUUUUGCUGGUAACAAUAUCUGCAUUUUUUUGUGGUAUUUCACUAAACACAGCUAAAAAUAGGUAAGAAACCUAGGUGAGAGCUUAUAUACAAAAGCUUUUUUAAAUAUUUUGUCAAAAUGACUUUUCAACAAGUAAGGAAAGGCUAAGUUCGGGUGCAACCGAACAUUUUAUACUCUCGCAAUUUAUUUAGAGAUUUACCUAUAUUUUCGGUGGAAAAUUACCCUUAGGCACUGAGUUCUUCAUGUUUGAUAUCAGGGGCCUUGAAAAGUCAUGGUUCGAUUUUAACAAUUUUUCCACAAGUGAUGUCACAGCUCAAAUACAGUAUUUGGGUAAAGUUUUAUUUCGCUAUCUUUAUCGGUUCCUUAUGUAUACAUUAUAAAGUGAACGAAUCAGAAGGAUUCAAAAUUAAGUUAUAUGGGAAGUAGACGUAGUUGUAUACCGAUUUCGCCCAUAUUCUGCCAGUGUCAUCAGGAUGUCUAGAAAAUAUUAUAUACCGAAUUUCAUUGAAAUCUGUCGAGUAGUUCUUGAGAUAUGGUUUUUCACCCAUAAGUGGACGACGCCACGCCCAUUUUCCAUUUUGUAAAAAAAUCUCAGUGCAGCUUCCUUCUGUCAUUUCUUAUGUAAUAUUUGGUGUUUCUGACGUUUCUUGUUAGUGAGUUAACGCACUUUUAGUCAUUUUCAACCUAACCUUUGUAUGGGAGGUGGGCGCGGUUAUUAUCCGAUUUCUUUAAUUUUUGAACUGUAUAAGGAAAUGGCUAAAAGAAACGACUGCAGAAAGUUUGGUUUAUAUAGCUUUAUUGGUUUGCAAGAUAUAUACAAAAAACCUAUCCUAACCCUAACCUAACCCAUUUUGUGGGCGUGCCAGUGGUCCGAUUCCGCCCAUCUUCGAACUUAACCUUCUUAUGGUGCCAAGGAACACGUGUUCCAAGUUUCAUUAAGAUAUCCCAAUUUUUACUCAAGUUACAGCUUGCACGGACGGACAGACGGACGGACGAACAGACAGACAUCCGGAUUUGAACUUUACUCGUCACCCUGAUCACUUUGAUAUAUAUAACCCUAUAUCUAACUCGUUCAGUUUUAGGACUUACAAACAACCGUUAUGUGGACAAAACUAUAAUACUCUCUUCGCAACUUUUGUUGCGAGAGUAUAAAAAUAAAUAAAUAAAAAGGAAAAUAAAAAAAAAAUUACACAAGUUUUUUUUUCAAGACGCCAGGGUCAUGUAUCGCCGUAUUUUGAUGACCAUAUGUUACGGGCUUUUAAGAUACAUUUCAACUACUUCGGUUUUUGGUGCAGAAAUACAUAUUUUUGUAUUUUUUUUUGUAAUUUUAAAAAUUGAUUUCUCCAUUACUCAUAUGUAAAUAUUUAUUUACAUUUAUUUUUUUGCAAUAUCUGAUGUUUAUGAAACAAAGUUGGUAUUUCAGUUUACUACAAAUCGAUGUGUGUCAAUGUACGUAGUAAACACAAUACCAUAAUAAUUUUAUCAUGGUAUUGUUAAUACAUGUGUGUCUCGGGUAUUAGAUUUAAACGACCGUUAUAAAUGCAACAGCCGUCAUUUAUGUAUGUAACGUCUAUUGAAAGUUGGAUACAUACGAUUUACUGGAUAACAAAUUAUCUUUCCUACAGAGUAGCAGAUCGAACCAUAUUCAAUUACUACUUUGUAUAUAGAUUUGCUUAAAAUGGUCAUAACUGAUGACGAUUCAUGAGUAUAUGGUUAUGACAUCGAAACCAAAGUCCAAUAGUCCCAAUAUUUGUUCCAUUUUUUCGACAGCAGGAAAUCGACGAACACGCAAAACACAUCUAUCUUUCAAGGCUCUCACAUAAUAACAUAAAUGGAAAGAAUUGUAUAAUUCUGAUUACUUACCUCAUUACACAGUAUAUUUAUUUAUAAAACGGCGUUAUGAAGUGAAUAAAUGCACAAGAUAAACAAAAAUUUGGAAAAUUUUCAAACAACAGUGUGCGGCGAAUUGAAAGUCAGAGCAUUAGAAAGCUCAAAAUGAAUAUAAGUAUAUAUACUAAAUACUGAAAACUGGCCAAAAACAGAGAACCGUUAAUAAUCGCAAGUUUCUGAGCGUCAACUAAUAAGAGCAUGAAUACAAAGAACAGCGAAUUUAACUGAGUUUGCGCAUUACCAGUCGCUGCAUAAUGUACAUAAUAAGAGAAAUUUGAAAGACCGAGGCGAAAGAGUAAGGCGAAUUCGGUUCAAUUUCAAAAUCUCGUAUUCCAUAACAGAAAUAAGAGAAAGUAAAGAUUAGUUGCACAGAGUGUAAUGAAGCAGAAGAAUGAAAUUGAGAAUAAAAGAAUUUUAUCAAAAGUUUAACGAAUUCGCCUCUAAUGAGGGCCGUUGGUAUGAAAACAGAGCAUAAAUUGAGUGAGGAAGACGAAAGUAGAAAUUGUAGCAAAUUCGGAGAACAAAUAUUAAAGUAAUAACAACGGUUUACUUAGAAGCCAAAUCAGUUCCAAAGUGACUACCAGGGAUAAAGGGAUGUCCAACUUAUUCCAGCGUGAGAGCGCCUCAAAAUAAGCGUUUUUUAUAACAAUUUGCAUUAUUGCCAGACCAGACAAAAUACAAAUUUUUGGGCAUUUAAAUUAAAAUACCCAACAUUUAUUACGGUUAAAAAAAAUUUUAUACUGAAUUUUUAAUAUAAAAAUUACAUAUUUAAAUUUCUUUUAGCGAUAUUAAGGUACGUUAAAAUUGCUUGUUUUCGAACUUUCAGUAAUAAAUAAGGAAAAUUAUCACUUGUCAACUGACAAUUGAUAAUUUUUUUACAAUUUUCCAUGAAAAAAUUAAUUUCCCUAUGCUGCAUAUCAUAAAAAAUUUCUUUACCCUCUUUUAAAUUUCGCGUUUAUAUUUAUAUUUAUUGUUUUAAGCUCUUAUAAGUAAUCUUGCACGGCGUUCAAAAAUGUCUCUGUCGUAUAAUUUUUUUAGCAACAUUUCAAUAUGGCCGUUCCAGUUUCCCAAUUGCGAAACGUCAAAACCUA